AUUGAACGCUGGCGGCAGGCCUAACACAUGCAAGUCGAGCGGAGCGGCGGACGGGUGAGUAAUGCCUAGGAAUCUGCCUGGUAGUGGGGGAUAACGUCCGGAAACGGGAGCUAAUACCGCAUACUAUCAGAUGAGCCUAGGUCGGAUUAGCUAGGUGGUGGGGUAAAGGCCUACCAAGGCGAUGAUCCGUAAAUGGUCUGAGAGGAUGAUCAGUCACACUGGAACUGCGACACGGUCCAGACUCCUACGGGAGGCAGCAGUGGGGAAUAUUGGACAAUGGGCGAAAGACUGAUCCAGCCAUGCCGCGUGUGUGAAGAAGGUCUUCGGAUUGGAAAGCUCUUUAAGUUGGGAGGCGUUACCCGCAGAAGAAGCACCGGCUAACUCCGUGCCAGCAGCCGCGGUAAUAC
Molecule: ribosomal RNA, 407 nt
Filed under: uncultured bacterium
Lineage: Bacteria
Description: partial 16S ribosomal RNA
Rfam family: Bacterial small subunit ribosomal RNA
Source: RNAcentral